CCUACGGGUGGCAGCAGUCGGGAAUCUUGCUCAAUGGGGGAAACCCUGAUGCAGCAACGCCGCGUGGGGGAUGGAGGUUUUCGGAUUGUUAACUCCUUUUGUUAGAGAAGAUAAUGAAGGUAACUAACGAAUAAGCACCGGCUAACUCCGUGCCAGCAGCCGCGGUAAUACGGAGGGUGCAAGCGUUACUCGGAAUCACUGGGCGUAAAGAGCGCGUAGGCGGGAUAGCAAGUCAGAUGUGAAAGCCUAGGGCUUAACCAUAGAACGGCAUUUGAAACUGUUAGUCUAGAGUAUGGGAGAGGUAGGUGGAAUUCUUGGUGUAGGAGUAAAAUCCGUAGAGAUCGAGAGGAAUACUCAUGGCGAAGGCGAGCUGCUAGAACAUAACUGACGCUGAGGCGCGAAGGCGAGGGGAGCAAACAGGAUUAGAUACCCCAGUAGUC
This 440-nucleotide ribosomal RNA is filed under the name uncultured bacterium. Its description in RNAcentral is "partial 16S ribosomal RNA". It matches the Rfam family "Bacterial small subunit ribosomal RNA", at positions 338 to 795 of the family's 1533-position model. The record is from RNAcentral.